Molecule: ribosomal RNA, 647 nt
Filed under: Apiotrichum loubieri
Lineage: Eukaryota; Fungi; Basidiomycota; Tremellomycetes; Trichosporonales; Trichosporonaceae
Description: LSU rRNA
Rfam family: Eukaryotic large subunit ribosomal RNA
Source: RNAcentral
CCUCAAAUCAGGUAGGACUACCCGCUGAACUUAAGCAUAUCAAUAAGCGGAGGAAAAGAAACUAACAAGGAUUCCCUUAGUAACGGCGAGUGAACCGGGAAGAGCUCAAAUUUGAAAUCUGGCUGUCUUCGAUAGUCCGAGUUGUAAUCUAUAGAAGCGUUUUCCGUGCUGAACUGUGUCUAAGUCCCUUGGAACAGGGUAUCAAAGAGGGUGACAAUCCCGUACUUGACACAAUCAUCAGUGCUCUGUGAUACGCUCUCUACGAGUCGAGUUGUUUGGGAAUGCAGCUCAAAAUGGGUGGUAAAUUCCAUCUAAAGCUAAAUAUUGGCGAGAGACCGAUAGCGAACAAGUACCGUGAGGGAAAGAUGAAAAGCACUUUGGAAAGAGAGUUAAACAGUACGUGAAAUUGUUGAAAGGGAAACGAUUGAAGUCAGUCGUGUUCAUUGGAUUCAGCCGGUCUUCGGUGUACUUCCUUUGAACGGGUCAACAUCAGUUUUGCCCGGUGGAUAAAGGCAGUAGGAAUGUGGCCUCUUCGGAGGUGUUAUAGCCUAUUGUCACAUACACUGGGGGAGACUGAGGACUGCAGCUCGCCUUUUGGCCGGGGUUCGCCCACGUUCGAGCUUAGGAUGUUGACAUAAUGGCUUUAA